AUUUCAGUAACGCUCUGGGACAAUAAUUUACACUAGAAAAACGAAACGUGCGAUCCUUAAAUUCUGUUACAUUUAAAAUAGAAAGUUAACAGUCACAAUAAUUGUACACCCAUCGUUUCUGACCAAUUGGAAACAUCGUUCGGACCGUUAAUCACUGCCUGUGUUGGGUUUCAUGCGUCAUGCUAAUGGCCGUUCUAUCCGCUCGAUGUAUUUAUUUCUAUGAGAAAUCAAGAGGGAAAAGGCUGAGUAUGAAUCUGUCAUCUGGCGAAUUCACCGCGUGUCGGCCGAUGCGGAGGCGUUUUCCAUGAAUCCCUGCUGCACUACAGUAUGUGCAGGAGGCCUACAACUUAACAGGGGCCUCAAACAGGGAGGAGACCAUGAACCUCAACGAGAAGAAGCCCAACAAGUGGUGGACAGAACCGGACACGUUUGCCAUGCUGGCCCUAAUAGAGCAGCUGGAUCUGGUCCACGAGCUGGAUAAGAAGCGUCAGCGCAACGAAUCCCUCUUCCGACGCCUCAGGCUGAGUCUGGCAAAGCGGGGAAUCCACUUCACUGUCACCCAAAUCCGAAACCGUUGGAAGAGUCUCAAACACAAGUACCGUAAGAUCAAACUGGCCAGCUACCGAAGUCCAGCCGCUCGCCUCUCUGCCAUCGAGUCUUUCCGCUACUUCCAUAUGCUGGAUCACAUGUUGGUGCGCAGACCGAAGGCGGGAGGCAGGGAGGACGACCUCACAGAUGCUCACGCCCUGCUAGGACGGUCACUCGUGGACCUGGAUGACCAUGCAGACAGUCCUUGGCCUGAAGGCAUAAUCCCUAAAUCUGAGCCCGAGAGCAUGUCUUCUAAACUUGAACCUGAUGUUGACGACAGUCUGAAUCCAGAUGACGUGGCUGGUUCUGAGCCUCCAAGCUGGGCUGUAGGACCAGAUGAAGUUAUGACCCUGGGCUUGUCAGGAGAAUACCUCUAUGCAGUGAAGACCGAGCCACCAUCCCUAUGCACUCCCAACAGCACAGAAAGUACAAGAGAUGCUGUUGACUGCAGCUACAAUGAUUUCCCAGGAACUUCUGAAGAGACUAGCAGCCUGAUCCUCCAGCAGCUAACCAUCCUGAACCACCGGCUUGGAGAACAGCUGGCUGAGCAGAGAGCCUUCCACUGCAGCAUGCUGGGAAUGAUGGAUCGCCAGAUCCAGGUCCUGGAGCAGCUCUCCAAUUUCACCAGGAACCAUCAAUCCAAGCUUGAGACGCCAGACACGGACUCUUCAGUCAGUCCAAAUGUGCAUGAAGCUCAAACGCAGACUUUUGAGCCAUAUCCCACGUUCCUCAUGCCCAAAAGCGAACCAGCAGCUGCUCCUUGGAAGGUCUCCCUCUUGGAAGUCCACAAGAGGUCAACACACAGUGACACUGAGACUCCUCAAACCCUGGAAGGGUGCAAAGCAAACACCUCUAGCCCACCACCUUUAGAGAUUUCGUCCUCAACCAAGAACACUAUUGUGCUGAAUGGAUUGUGUAAGCACGAUUGAGUGCUGCUUGUUUGGGACGUUACACAUUCAGUAGGAACAACAAAAGUCUUUUGUUCUGUAGAUGUUUCAGGUGGUGGUCUGAUCUGAAACAUCAACAUAUGCGUUUUUCAGUUUCAUAGGAAAGUAUUCAGUGCUCUGAUGUUUUAAUCAGUAACACUUUUGAGAAAUAGAACAAUAGACUCAUUAUUUAUUUACUUUGGUUUGUUUGCCAACUAACACUCGAUGUGAAUCUUAGAUGGUAAGUAACUUAACAGUGACUGUUUCAAAAUUGCAGUUCGGACCAAGGUAGCUUUAUGUCUGUAAUCAUCUUGCAUUAUCUGAGAAAAAAGUGGGUUAUUGGUAAGCUUAAAGUUGUGUAAAAUAUCAGUUUCUUCCAAUUAGGUUUGGGACACACUUUUAAGGCUGAUUUUAACAAAAGAAGGUGUGUUAUCAUGAAUUUCAUCAUCUAAUCUGAACUCAUGUGGUUAAGUAUGAACUUAUAAGUCUGUUAAUUUCAAUAACUGCUUGCCUCUUAUUAUAAAGUAAUAUUUCACUGAUAUGUGUCAUAGUAUUUUUGACAUGCUAAAUCAAUCAGGGUUGGGAUGUAACGCCACUAAGUCCAGCGA
RNAcentral lists this long non-coding RNA (2122 nucleotides) under Sinocyclocheilus anshuiensis. RNAcentral describes it as "lncRNA (ENSSANG00000045563.1)". The record is from RNAcentral. Lineage: Eukaryota; Metazoa; Chordata; Actinopteri; Cypriniformes; Cyprinidae.